AGAGAGCACUCUAAUACAUGUAUCUUCGUAUAACUGCGUGCCAAGUUUCUCUAGAGUAGACUUGCUGAGUCAUCAAGUAUGCAUAUGUCUCUUCAACUGCACUACAGUGCGCUAAACUACUUUUGAGUAUGUAACAAUUUGCAGUUUCUACCAUCAAUUCCUGUUGCUCCACACCCUCAUCAACACUUUGCCGACACUUCUCUUUUUAGCUAAUCUGAGUGGAUACUAGUAGACUCUAUUAAGGUUUAAUUGCAUUACUUUGAUUAUGAAAGAAGUUGAGAAUUCUUAUGGUUAUUGGCCGUUUUUAUUUCCUCUUUGUGGAGAGCUAUUCAAGUUAGUUUUUCUCAGAAUGGGUUGUCUUUUUAUUGAUGCAAAAACUUUUAUAUGUUCUGGAUACUAAUAUUUUGUCGAUUACAUGUGUGUUCAAUAUAUUCUCUCAUUGCAUGACUAUCUUUGUUCACGUUAUCUUUUGAUAAAGAGAUGUGCCUUAUUUUACCAAAUAUGUAAUUUUUGACUACAGAUUUUUAUGUUAUAGAAGACAUCUUUCAAUGCCCUGAGGUCAUGAAGAUAUAUGUGCACACACACACACAUACACCCACACAUAUAUACUUAUAGAAAGCAUACGCAUGGGUAUGUGUAUGCUUUAAAGUUUUAUCUUUCACACUUAAGUCUGUAUCCAUUUGGGGUUUUUUGCAUAUGGUGUGAGGUAGGCAUCCAAUUUCUUUCUUUGCUCUUUUCUCUUUUUCCCAUCUAGAUCUCUAAUGUUCCAGCACCACAAUCUUUUAUCGAAAAGAUUCUUUCUUCACUGUUCUGGAAUGUGACUUCUGUCAUAAAUCAAGGAUCUCUAUACGUUUGGGUCUGAAUCUGGUCAUUCUCUUCUGUCCCAUUGGUCCACUGGUCUAUUUGUCUACUGCGUCAGUACUACGAUUCCUUUUUAAAUACAUCCUGGGAUCUGGUGGAACAAAUCUUUCUACCUUCUUCUUCUUCUUCAAGAGUAUCUUACUCAGCCUUGGUCCCUUACAUGUCUCAGUACAUUUUACAAUCAUCUUGUCAAGUUCCAAGAGGAAAAAAAAAAAGUUGUUGGGGUUUUUGAUUGGGAUUAUGUUGAGUUUAUAGAUUGCUUUGGGGAGAACUGACAUCUUUCUAAUAUUGGGUCCUCUGAUCCAGGAAAUCAUGUAGCAUAUGAAUAUUUAAUGCAAACCCUGGUGACCAGAGUUGGUAACAUGGUUAUAUAACUCAAAUUUGCUAAGUGACUAGAACUUAAAUGUUCUCAUUAAAAAAAAAGAAGAUAAAUAUGUGAGAUGGAGGAUGUGUUAUUUAACUAGAUGAAGGGAAUCCUUUCACAAUGUAUAUCAAAUCACCACAAUAUUCACUUUUAAUAUCUUACAGUUUUGUCAAUUAUACCUCAAUAAAGCUGAAAAUUUUAAAAAGUGACCUAAAAAAGUCCUUAUCUUUAUACCUAACAAUAGCUCACUCCUAAGAGCUAAUCUACUUUAGAUAUGUGAAUUCCAGGGCUACUUAAAUUUUGCCUUUCUCUUUCCCCAAGAAUAUCAGAUCCUACAAAUAUGGUCUAUUUUCCCCAAACCUACUAACUUUCCUCUCUGCUCCUGAGAUGAUAGCCUUAAAGUAGAAUGUUACAUCAUAGUUCCAUGGUUCAGAAUUGCACUUGAUCUAAGCACUCAGGAGACCUAAAAGAUUCGUGACUCUGAGAAUAUAAAAAAUAUUUUUAAGUAACUGAGAACAAAUAUAAUCUUACCAGUUAAAACUAUACACACACACAGAGCCUUCAAAUUACUAACUCUCCAAAGCAUAAUUUAGAAUCAUUAUUUAAAAAAUAGUUUGUAAGUAAGACUGAGGCUGGGAGGGAAGGAAAGGUGUGUGUGCAUGAGAGAGAUAGAGAGAGAGAGAGAGAGAGAGAGAGAGAGAAAGCAUGAGGCAAGAGAAAAGUUAGCAUAGAAAAGCACCUAUCAGUGAGGCUUUGUCCAGUAACUUGGGACCUUAACCAGCCCUGAGAUCCUAAUACGGGAAUAAGCAAAGGAGCUUUCAGUGAGGUAAAAAAAUGAUUAAUGGGCUUUAGGGACUGAUUGAUGAAAAGAGAAAGCAAAGCAGGAAAACAAGCUCUGAACUUAAUAAAUGAAAGAGAAAAAAAUACCAUCCAGAAAUACUUGAGCUAGGAUGAAGAGGGGCUGUUUAUGCUAAAAUAAAGAGUUAUGAAGACUAGGAAUAACGAGUUGAAAUAAUAUGAACAUUUCCACAUAAAUCCCUCCACGGUUAAACUAAAGAAUGUUUCCCCAGGAGAAACGGAAAGGCUAAUUCUUAAGAAAACUAGGAGAGAGAAGCCGUUGAGGACAGACUGUGGGAAGAAAGAAUUGUGAGCAGCUGAAACGGACUGAACACGAUCUAACACAUCUUUUGCAUUCUCCAGUUUCUGUGAUUCUAUCCGUCCAUGUGGAGGGAAUGACGCGAUCAAGAAUUAAGAGCAACAAGAAAUGUUUUGUUUGGUGUUCGAGGAACCAUUAAAAAAAAAAAAUACAGCCUCUAAAUGAGAACUGGAUUCCUGGUCUUAAAAAUAUACAGAAAGCAUCCUGCUCUUCUGUGAAUCGGCAUUACCGAUGGGCAGCUUCAGCCCUGGGAUCCGAAAUAUUCCAGAAGAGAGGGUGGCUGUUCGAAUCAAAGGGAGAACAUUAUUUAUCGACCUGACAGAUGGAGCCAGAACUCUUCCCGUCUUCAGGUACAGAGAAUAUGCAAAAGUCAUAAUUAUCUUAAUUUUCAGUACCGCACCCAAAAGCGAUUGAAAAAUCCCAGGCUGUUAAUUAUGGCAAAAGGUAUCUUUUGUGUUUAAUUAAAGAGCUUCUGUCUUUAAUCUCCAGUGAAUAAAAUACAUUAAAAGAA
Pteropus alecto (black flying fox) is the source of this 2892-nucleotide long non-coding RNA. RefSeq lists it as uncharacterized. NCBI's taxonomy places the organism in Eukaryota, Metazoa, Chordata, Mammalia, Chiroptera, Pteropodidae. The record is from RefSeq and is a predicted model, not a curated record. The transcript has 2 exons.